RNAcentral lists this long non-coding RNA (801 nucleotides) under Coffea arabica (coffee). RNAcentral describes it as "long non-coding RNA (CARA_LNC001579)". The record is from RNAcentral. Lineage: Eukaryota; Viridiplantae; Streptophyta; Magnoliopsida; Gentianales; Rubiaceae.
UUCCCUUAAACCAAGCAUUCCAGUACCAGAAAUAGAAAGAGCAUCAACAGAUCAGGUCAUCUUUCUGCUCGUUUUUGUGGGGUGUUUUUGCUACCUUAUCAAUCACAAAUUCUGGAUUCAAAUAGUUCACUUGCUCGACGUUUAGUGUACAAUAGAAAAUUAAGAUUACCUAAUGAAACAGGUACUACGCUGCUUCUGCGAUUUCCUGAAAUCACUUGGAGACUCAUGGAUUAACAAUGGUGAAUGGAUGGUUAAAUGCAAGUAUGAUGCCUCUAUUAAGCUGAACCAAAAUGAUCUGGAAGAUAUUGGUAUGUUGUACAUAAGAUAUAUUUGGGAAAUAUUUCUUACCUGAUCAGCAUUAACAACAAUUUGCAUUUGCUGGAAUUGAAACAGCACAGUCCAUGCUUGAAGACAUGAACAAGCUAGCAAGAGAAAGGAUGUUUGAUAUGAUGGAUGAGGAUGAGCAGAUGAAUGGAUAUAGUCCCUCCGAGACUGCAUUUGGGAAAGCUUUGUCAGAGUCCUAUUCAGACAGUAAAAAUUCCCUUUCCAGUUCUCCAGCUACUCCAACUUCAGUCCUUCAAGAUAUGACCAAUAUGUUAUCCAAAGGCACAAAGCAAUCCUAUACUCCACCUCUUCUGCUUCAACUUAGAGUUCAAGCAGUUGAAAAACUGAACCCCAUAGAUAUAAAGCGCCUGUCAUUCCACAUGCUUCCUCAUGCAGCAGCUCCAGAUCCUAAUUACCCACUCCAGAAAUGUGAAACAUUUGAGGGACGACGGCUGGAGCUGGAAGCAAAACAUGAAU